GUAGGUGAACCUGCGGAAGGAUCAUUACUAUUCGGUAGUUUACUACCGUUUGAAGGGGGUGGAAACUUUCCAGGCUUGCCUGGCAAGAAGUACAUCCUUUUCUCAACCCUUGUCUUUUUGCGCACUCUUGUUUCCUCGGCAGGCCUGCCUGCCGACUGGACAACUCAAGAACCUUUUUAAUUUUUAAUCAGCGUCUGAACAAUUAUAAUAAUUACAACUUUCAACAACGGAUCUCUUGGUUCUGGCAUCG
RNAcentral lists this unclassified non-coding RNA (250 nucleotides) under plant metagenome. RNAcentral describes it as "partial contains small subunit ribosomal RNA, internal transcribed spacer 1, and 5.8S ribosomal RNA". The record is from RNAcentral.